Non-coding RNA from Gallus gallus (chicken), 399 nucleotides. Lineage: Eukaryota; Metazoa; Chordata; Aves; Galliformes; Phasianidae. The record is from the annotation of a RefSeq genome assembly.
CAGCGCUCUCUGUCCUUCCCCACAGGGCUGAUGGCAGCCGUGACGUUGGACGAGUCCGGGGGCGGCCUCCAGACGCCCGGAGGAGGGCUCAGCCUCGUCUGCAAGGCCUCCGGGUUCUCCUUCAGCAGCCAUGGCAUGUUCUGGGUGCGACAGGCGCCCGGCAAGGGGCUGGAAUAUGUCGCUGAAAUUACCAGUACUGGUAGUGAGACAGCAUACGGGGCGGCGGUGGAUGGCCGUGCCACCAUCUCGAGGGACAACGGGCAGAGCACAGUGAGGCUGCAGCUGAACAACCUCAGGGCUGAGGACACCGGCAUCUACUACUGCGCCAAAAGCAGUUAUGAGUGUGCUUACAGUUGUUGGGGUUAUAGUGGUGCUCGCACAGACCUCACAGGGACAUGA